Molecule: long non-coding RNA, 2741 nt
Filed under: Nicotiana benthamiana
Lineage: Eukaryota; Viridiplantae; Streptophyta; Magnoliopsida; Solanales; Solanaceae
Description: long non-coding RNA (NBEN_LNC012959)
Source: RNAcentral
AUGGCAUCCGGUUUUGGACGAGUGGCUGGAGUUCAGCUCAGUAUCCACCAUCUCAAGAGUGCUCAUAUUGGUGAUCUUGUUUUUGCCGAGGCUGUACCUGUCAAUAUUGGCAAAACUAUUCAUGUUUGGGAAGUUUGUAUUUGGAAGAUUGAUCCAAACAAUGAAGAAAACAAGACUUUGAUAGCAUCAUCAAGAGUCACCCUUAAGGCCAACAUGUCUGUACCUGAAAAUGCUAAAGAUGCUGCUGUCAAUCUCAAGAAAUAUGCUAAGUUAUGAUCAGGUUUAAUUGAGUUCGAUUGCAGCAUAUUUGAUUGUAAGCAAAACUAUACAUAACCUAAUUGUGAAGAAAGAUAAAGAGAUGGGCUAAUCAAUUUGGAGUUUGAUGCUCCAUCAAUAAUUAAUGGAUACCGUAAUUAAUUUGUUUCACUCUCUUGCUUUUACUGUAUUUAUUGAGAUACUAUCUUUGGCAAGUAUGGGAGCACAUAUGGCAUCCGGUUUUGGACGAGUGGCUGGAGUUCAGCUCAGUAUCCACCAUCUCAAGAGUGCUCAUAUUGGUGAUCUUGUUUUUGCCGAGGCUGUACCUGUCAAUAUUGGCAAAACUAUUCAUGUUUGGGAAGUUUGUAUUUGGAAGAUUGAUCCAAACAAUGAAGAAAACAAGACUUUGAUAGCAUCAUCAAGAGUCACCCUUAAGGCCAACAUGUCUGUACCUGAAAAUGCUAAAGAUGCUGCUGUCAAUCUCAAGAAAUAUGCUAAGUUAUGAUCAGGUUUAAUUGAGUUCGAUUGCAGCAUAUUUGAUUGUAAGCAAAACUAUACAUAACCUAAUUGUGAAGAAAGAUAAAGAGAUGGGCUAAUCAAUUUGGAGUUUGAUGCUCCAUCAAUAAUUAAUGGAUACCGUAAUUAAUUUGUUUCACUCUCUUGCUUUUACUGUAUUUAUUGAGAUACUAAUAUAUCGCAUCUAAUUCCAAAUUCAAUAGUAUUUCUGGGGUCCAAAUAUGUCCUAGGUACUUUCCUUUUUAGUUUGUUCUAAAAUAAAUAUUAUAUUUCUAAAUUUGAAAAUAAUUUCUUUUUAGUUUGUUCUAAAAUAAAUAUUAUAUUUCUAAAUUUGGAAAUAAUUCAACUUUAAACUUUAAUUUUAUCCUUUUUAUCCUUAUGAGAAGUUUUUAUCGCCACAUAAAUGAUACGACACCGCAAUCCUUUUACCCCUUGCUGCUUCAAACAUUAACAAUAUGAACGAAACGGAGGCAGUAUAUCUUUUCUCCGAGUAUGAAGAUUGGAAGGGACAAACCACAAGCCAACUAAGGGCCGACCAUUAAGUUUACCCUUACAUUAAUAUACCAAUCAAGGUAAUGUUUUCCACCUACCACGCACUUUACCCUUUAUCCUUUCUUCUUCCUCACAGCUAUUCCAUAAGUCCAAACUCCAAUCAUCAUCUUCAAUCUAUUCUUCUCUGCCACUUUCAUCAAGAUUCUUGAUUUCCAUAAACAGAUAAUCAGAUUUACCAUUUCAGAAUAUCUGAAUCCAAAAGAGAAACUCCCUUUUUAAUUUAUCAAAAAUUGACCUUGUUGAGAUAUGGAUUAUCUCUUGCCCCAUAACUGAAAGAACCAUAUAGUGCGACAAAAAGGUUCAUUCCAAUUUGGACAGGUGUUUCUGCUAAAGCUAGGAACGUGAGUCAAACCUUUCUGUCCGAGGUCAACCUCCAAGAACAAGACCUCAUUUCAAGAUAACAGCAAAUAUGGAACCGCCACCAUCAGGGGUAAAGGCUCGAGCUUUAGAUAUUCCACUUUAUGAGAUUGGCUUUGAGUUUGUAGAAAUCACAUCCCACAAACUCACCGGCCGUCUUCCUGUGACAGAAAAGUGUUGCCAGCCCUUCAAGGUGUUGCACGGUGGAGUUUCAGCUAUGAUAUCUGAGGCUUUGGCAAGUAUGGGAGCUCACAUGGCUUCUGGUUUUUCGCGAGUGGCUGGAAUUCAUCUCAGCAUACACCAUCUCAAGAGUGGUCAAAUUGGUGACCUUGUUUUUGCUGAGGCUACACCAGUCAACAUUGGCAAAACUAUUCAUGUUUGGGAAGUUUGUCUUUGGAAGAUUGAUCCAAACAAUGAGGAAAACAAGACUUUGAUAGCAUCAUCAAGAGUCACCCUUAAGACCAACAUGCCUGUACCUGAAAAUGCCAAAGAUGCUGCUGUCAAUCUCAAGAAAUAUGCUAAGUUAUGAUCAACUUCAGUUGAGUUUUUGAUGGUAAGCAAAACAGUAGAGAUAACAAGGCAAUAAAGCAGAGCAAAGAGUAUUAUUUGGUGUGCAAAACAUGUUGUAAACCCCUUGCUAUUUGUUUGUCCUAUACGUUGUUUUGAAUACCCUAAUAAAAGUAAAAACUACAAUAUCUUAUGAUUUCUCUGGUUUUGCGGAUCAUAUUUGUUUACCGUUUUGCGGUCAAACCUUUCUAGUCUUAUUUGUUUUGAUACUUUUUGGUUGGUAUAGUGAAGUGUUGUUAUGUGAGACAUAUAUUACCUUACCCCUACUCCGAGGAGCAGAGAGGCUGUUUCCUGGAGACCCUCAGCUCAUAAGAGAUAUAGGAAAUACGAAAAAGAUAAAAGGUAUACUAAUAUCCAACAUAUAAAGCCCUAUAUCAGUAGAUUGAUCAGUAGCAUCCUAAGACUAACUCCUAAUAGACUAAUCUCACUCUAGUUUGUUGUAGAAAUAUCCACAGCUUUCCCCAAACCUACAACCUUAAUGCUCGACCUCCACA